GGCGAACGCUGGCGGCGUGCUUAACACAUGCAAGUCGAACGGAAAGGCCCUGCUUUUGUGGGGUGCUCGAGUGGCGAACGGGUGAGUAACACGUGAGUAACCUGCCCUUGACUUUGGGAUAACUUCAGGAAACUGGGGCUAAUACCGGAUAGGAGCUCCUGCUGCAUGGUGGGGGUUGGAAAGUUUCGGCGGUUGGGGAUGGACUCGCGGCUUAUCAGCUUGUUGGUGGGGUAGUGGCUUACCAAGGCUUUGACGGGUAGCCGGCCUGAGAGGGUGACCGGCCACAAUGGGACUGAGGUACGGCCCAGACUCCUACGGGAGGCAGCAGUGGGGAAUAUUGCACAAUGGGCGGAAGCCUGAUGCAGCACCGCCGCGUGCGGGAUGACGGCCUUCGGGUUGUAAACCGCUUUCGCCUGUGACGAAGCGUGAGUGACGGUAAUGGGUAAAGAAGCACCGGCUAACUACGUG
This 468-nucleotide ribosomal RNA is filed under the name uncultured bacterium. Its description in RNAcentral is "partial 16S ribosomal RNA". It matches the Rfam family "Bacterial small subunit ribosomal RNA", at positions 28 to 507 of the family's 1533-position model. The record is from RNAcentral.